Molecule: non-coding RNA, 66 nt
Organism: Trachymyrmex cornetzi
Lineage: Eukaryota; Metazoa; Arthropoda; Insecta; Hymenoptera; Formicidae
Source: Rfam
AGUGGGGGUGAGAAACUGGCUUGGCUUAUAUGUAAAAUGACAGUCAGUCUUUUUCUCUCUCCUAUC